CGAAAGCCUGACGGAGCAACGCCGCGUGAGGGAUGGAGGCCUUUGGGCUGUAAACCUCUUUUCUCAAGGAAGAAGAUCUGACGGUACUUGAGGAAUAAGCCACGGCUAAUUCCGUGCCAGCAGCCGCGGUAAUACGGGAGUGGCAAGCGUUAUCCGGAAUUAUUGGGCGUAAAGCGUCCGCAGGCGGCCGUUUAAGUCUGUUGUUAAAUCGUGGAGCUCAACUCCAUCACGGCAAUGGAAACUGUUCGGCUUGAGUAUGGUAGGGGCAGAGGGAAUUUCCGGUGUAGCGGUGAAAUGCGUAGAUAUCGGGAAGAACACCAGUGGCGAAAGCGCUCUGCUGGGCCAUUACUGACGCUCAUGGACGAGAGCCAGGGGAGCGAAAGGGAUUAGAUACCCCUGUAGUCCUGGCCGUAAACGAUGAACACUAGAUGUUGGGGGAAUCGACCCCCUCGGUGUCGUAGCUAACGCGUUAAGUGUUCCGCCUGGGGAGUACGCACGCAAGUGUGAAACUCAAAGGAAUUGGCGGGGGCCCGCACAAGCGGUGGAGUAUGUGGUUUGAUUCGAUGCAACGCGAAGAACCUUACCAAGGCUUGACAUCCUGCGAAUCUCUAAGAAAUUAGAGAGUGCCUUCGGGAACGCAGUGACAGGUGGUGCAUGGCUGUCGUCAGCUCGUGUCGUGAGAUGUUGGGUUAAGUCCCGCAACGAGCGCAACCCACGUUUUUAGUUGCCAGCAUUCAGUUGGGCACUCUAGAAAGACUGCCGGUGACAAACCGGAGGAAGGUGUGGACGACGUCAAGUCAUCAUGCCCCUUACGCCUUGGGCUACACACGUACUACAAUGCUGCGGACAAAGAGUAGCGAUCUUGCGAAAGUUAGCUAAUCUCAUAAACCGUGGCUCAGUUCAGAUCGUAGGCUGCAACUCGCUACGUGAAGGAGGAAUCGCUAGUAAUCGCAGGUCAGCAUACUGCGGUGAAUACGUUCCCGGGCCUUGUACACACCGCCCGUCACACCAUGGAAGUUGGCCAUGCCCGAAGUCGUUACUCUAACCUUUUGGAAGAGGGCGCCGAAGGCAGGGCUAAUGACUGGGGUGAAGUCGUAACAAGGUAGCCGUAGCGGAAGCUGCGGCUGGAUCACCUCCUAA
This 1140-nucleotide ribosomal RNA is filed under the name Candidatus Synechococcus spongiarum. Its description in RNAcentral is "bacterial SSU rRNA". It matches the Rfam family "Bacterial small subunit ribosomal RNA", at positions 376 to 1533 of the family's 1533-position model. The record is from RNAcentral. Lineage: Bacteria; Bacillati; Cyanobacteriota; Cyanophyceae; Synechococcales; Synechococcaceae.